CGGCCGUUCCACCUAAACUCAGCCGCUUUCAAGGACAAGCCUCCCUGUCCGCCCUCCAACGCCACUCUCCGAACCACCAAACUCCACGAAGAAGCAAAUCUAUAGGUUAGAAAGAACUCCAGGACCAACCAACCCCCUCCAAGCCGUUCGUACGCACUGAGCCAUGCACCGAGAGCAGCCGAGCAGUUUUCUGGACCAGCUUUCCUUUAAUUGUUGCUUGCUGUAAA
Molecule: long non-coding RNA, 227 nt
Organism: Poecilia latipinna (sailfin molly)
Lineage: Eukaryota; Metazoa; Chordata; Actinopteri; Cyprinodontiformes; Poeciliidae
Exons: 2
Source: RefSeq, a predicted model, not a curated record